GAACGCUAGCGACAGGCCUAACACAUGCAAGUCGAGGGGCAGCACAAGGAGCAAUCUGAGGUGGCGACCGGCGCACGGGUGAGUAACACGUAUGCAACCUGCCUGUAAGCGGGGAAUAACCCGUUGAAAGACGGACUAAUACCGCAUAAUACUAAAUUACUGCAUGGUAAUUUAUUUAAACAUUUAUGGCUUACAGAUGGGCAUGCGCAUGAUUAGCUAGUUGGAGAGGUAACGGCUCCCCAAGGCAACGAUCAUUAGGGGUUCUGAGAGGAAGGUCCCCCACACUGGUACUGAGACACGGACCAGACUCCUACGGGAGGCAGCAGUGAGGAAUAUUGGUCAAUGGACGAGAGUCUGAACCAGCCAAGUCGCGUGCAGGAAGAAUGUCCCUAUGGAUUGUAAACUGCUUUUGCAGGGGAAUAAAGUGCAUCACGUGUGAUGUUUUGUAUGUACUCUGCGAAUAAGGAUCGGCUAACUCCGUGCCAGCCGCCGC
This 493-nucleotide ribosomal RNA is filed under the name uncultured bacterium. Its description in RNAcentral is "bacterial SSU rRNA". It matches the Rfam family "Bacterial small subunit ribosomal RNA", at positions 31 to 518 of the family's 1533-position model. The record is from RNAcentral.